RNAcentral lists this ribosomal RNA (446 nucleotides) under uncultured bacterium. RNAcentral's name for it is "partial 16S ribosomal RNA". It matches the Rfam family "Bacterial small subunit ribosomal RNA", at positions 338 to 795 of the family's 1533-position model. The record is from RNAcentral.
CCUACGGGUGGCUGCAGUCGGGAAUCAUUCGCAAUGGGGGCAACCCUGAUGGUGCAACGCCGCGUGGAGGAAUGAAGCUCUUCGGAUGGUAAACCCCUGUCCUGUGGAAGCCGAUUGAGACGAUCGUACCCCACUAGGCAGCGCCUACUAACUAGGUGCCAGCAGCCGCGGUAAUACAGAGGUCUCCAGCGUUGUUCGGCAUCACGUGGCGUAAAGCGUGCGUAGGCUGUUUAGUAAGUCGUGUGUGAAAGGCGCGGGCUCAACCCGCGGACGGCACAUGAUACUGCGAGACUAGAGUAAGGGAGGGGGAAUCGGAAUUCUCGGUGUAGCAGUGAAAUGCGUAGAUAUCGAGAGGAACACCCGUGGCGAAGGCGGGUUACUGGACAGUAACUGACGCUGAGGCACGAAGGCCAGGGGAGCGAAAGGGAUUAGAUACCCGGGUAGUC